AUUGAACGCUGGCGGCAGGCCUAACACAUGCAAGUCGAACGAGUGGCGGACGGGUGAGUAAUGUCUGGGAAACUGCCUGAUGGAGGGGGAUAACUACUGGAAACGGUAGCUAAUACCGCAUACUAUCAGAUGUUCCCAGAUGGGAUUAGCUAGUUGGUGGGGUAACGGCUCACCAAGGCGACGAUCCCUAGCUGGUCUGAGAGGAUGACCAGCGACACAGGAACGGAGAAAACGCCCAAGCGCGUCAGGAGGGGGGCAGAGGGGAAUAUGGGACAAUGGGCUAAAGACUGAUGCAGCCAGGCCGAAGGUAGGAAGAGGGCUUUCGAGUUGUAAAACUCUUUAGGGGUUAGGUGGAGAAGAAGCACCGGCUAACUACGUGCCAGCAGCCGCGGUAAUAC
Molecule: ribosomal RNA, 398 nt
Filed under: uncultured bacterium
Lineage: Bacteria
Description: partial 16S ribosomal RNA
Rfam family: Bacterial small subunit ribosomal RNA
Source: RNAcentral